GGCUCGGUGGCUCCGAGGCAAGAGCGCUGGCCUGCGGAUCCCCCAUGUGGCGGGUUCGAAUCCCGGCCGAGCUA
Non-coding RNA from Ixodes scapularis (black-legged tick), 74 nucleotides. The record is from Rfam. Lineage: Eukaryota; Metazoa; Arthropoda; Arachnida; Ixodida; Ixodidae.